GUUGUCUGGGGAAGCAAAACUGCUCCUCGAGACUGGUGUUUGUCCUUCGCCACCCCCUCCAGUCCAGAGAAGUUGAGAAAACCCCUCUUUAUUCAUCUGUACUGGACCGGAACCUGCCUCUUUUACAGGGACAUCUGCGCGAUGUGAUCUAAAGAAAAAAUGUGAACCCAUUAUUUCAGUCGUUGUUCUUCCUCUCCAUUUUGGCCCUCUAUCUAAGCUUUUGUUUACGUCGAGUGACACUAUUACAGGCCUACUCCGUUAGCAGCAAUACUUUGAAAAAGACCAACUUCAAGAACUGGAACAUAACCAAAGAAGUUUAAGUUUACUAUCACCGUUACUGUUACGAAAGUUUUGGUGCCGCCAGAGCGUCCAGCAGCGGCUGCAGGCACCAUGCCAGGUGAGAUUGAACCAAACCCUGCCCUCUUCCCAUGGAGGUAAGAGCAUGACCGAGCCAAAAUGGUGGCACCUAGGCCCCAGUCUUCGCCAGACAGAACCAACAUGGCUGCCGUAACACUACAAGGGGGUAUUGGAUAUCCCUGACUGAGAGAGAGACAGAAGGAGGAGCCAAAUUCCUGCUUUUAGAUGAAGAAGGGGUGGGGGGGCUGUCUAAUGGAAGUCUGCUGAGACUCCAAGUCAAUUAUUCAGCCAGAAAGUAGAGGAGGAGGAGGAUCUGGAGAGAGUGGGGUAUUGACUUGGGUAAUAACCUCUGGUCCGUCAGCAGCAGCCAGCGCCCUGAGACCGUGCUGAGACCAGACGCGGAGGUGGGAGGGAGGAAGGGGGGGUGUUGGCCAAGAUCCUAGACAUCCUCUCAGAGCAAAAGGUUAGCGUCAAUCCCCUGCCGCAUCAGGUAUAAAUAGCGUCUCUCGUCUCCAGAUGGCAGUCAAGAAGGGGAUUUGUGUGUAAAGAUGUUUAUGCGUAUACUGGUUGCGUGUUGAUUUUGAGCAUUUGAGCGUGUUGAAUUUGUGAGUGUAAAUGAUUCAGAAGGCUCAGUUCAGAUAAGGUGAGGUAACAGGCCUUCUUGUUCUGUUGGCCCGUAGUGGAGACUGCAUAAAUUGUCACAACAAUUGUGUAAUAGAAAUUAGACAAUGACACUUAUACAAAUGAACAAAACAGUAAAAAGUACUGUAAUGUACUGUAGACAAAUAUUAAAAAUGUCUAUAAUUUUGUUUGCUAAUUAUAAUGCCUGAAUGUUAUACAUGUGAUGAUUUUGUCCAUAACUCUUUAAUUUAGUUACCUUGACCUUAAGAUUACACAGAUCACUGGGGGGAAAUCUGUUGGUAAUACCUGCUAUCAGAACUAAACAUGGCGGAGCAACUUUUAGCUAUGCUGCUCAGCUCUGGAACCAACCUCCUGAUGACAUCAAAGGUUCUCCAAAUAUAGCCAGCUUCAGAUGUAGACUCAAAACCCAUCUCUUCUCCAAUUCUUUUUGUCCACUGAUUUAAUGCACUGUACUUUUUAUUUUUUUAUGGCUUUAGUUGAUUUUUCAUGCUCCUUCCUUUUUAAUAGUUUAAUUUUAUGGUCUGUUCACUGUUUUAAUGCGUUUAACCUUUUUUAAUCUCUUAUUUCUUCUAUGUUCUUUUAUCUGGUCAUUUGUAAAUCACUCUGAAUUACCCAUCUGCAUGAAUUGUGCAAUAUAAAUAAAAUGGCCCUGCUGAACACA
This is a long non-coding RNA of Alosa alosa (allis shad), 1660 nucleotides long. RefSeq lists it as uncharacterized. The record is from RefSeq and is a predicted model, not a curated record. Lineage: Eukaryota; Metazoa; Chordata; Actinopteri; Clupeiformes; Clupeidae. The transcript has 2 exons.